This 287-nucleotide ribosomal RNA is filed under the name uncultured bacterium. RNAcentral describes it as "partial 16S ribosomal RNA". It matches the Rfam family "Bacterial small subunit ribosomal RNA", at positions 775 to 1066 of the family's 1533-position model. The record is from RNAcentral.
GGAUUAGAUACCCUGGUAGUCCACGCCCUAAACGAUGUCUACUUGCUGUUGGGGGUAACCUUAGUAGCGAAGCUAACGCGAGAAGUAGACCGCCUGGGGAGUACGGUCGCAAGAUUAAAACUCAAAGGAAUUGACGGGGACCCGCACAAGCGGUGGAUGAUGUGGAUUAAUUCGAUGCAACGCGAAAAACCUUACCUGCUCUUGACAUGUACGGAAGACUUCAGAGAUGAGGUUGUGCCUUCGGGAACCGUAACACAGGUGCUGCAUGGCUGUCGUCAGCUCGUGCC